UACGUAGGGUGCAAGCGUUGUCCGGAAUUAUUGGGCGUAAAGAGCUCGUAGGCGGUUUGUUGCGUCGGCUGUGAAAAUCCCGAGGCUCAACCUCGGGUCUGCAGUCGAUACGAGCAAACUAGAGUGUUGCAGGGGGAGACUGGAAUGCCUGGUGUAGCGGUGAAAUGCGCAGAUAUCAGGAGGAACACCGGUGGCGAAGGCGGGUCUCUGGGCAACAACUGACGCUGAGGAGCGAAAGCGUGGGGAGCGAACAGG
This 255-nucleotide ribosomal RNA is filed under the name uncultured bacterium. Its description in RNAcentral is "partial 16S ribosomal RNA". It matches the Rfam family "Bacterial small subunit ribosomal RNA", at positions 524 to 776 of the family's 1533-position model. The record is from RNAcentral.